CCAAACUUGGUCAUUUAGAGGAAGUAAAAGUCGUAACAAGGUUUCCGUAGGUGAACCUGCGGAAGGAUCAUUACAAAUCCAUCCACGUCUCGCUCCCGAGACCACGUUGAACUGUUCUGCGUGCAGGCACGCAUGGCGGCGACGGCGAGCGGGCAGCAGACGACGAGGGAGGAGCAGGAGAGGUUGACGUACGCGCACGUCGCACCACUUGGCAUAAGGCGCUCGUCGCCGUACCUCGUGCGUGCGUGCGUGCGUGCGUGCGUGCGUGCGUGCGUGCGUCUACCAUCUCCGUCCUCUCUCGCUCGCUUGCCCGUCUCUCCGAACGCACAUGCGUGCCUCUCGCAUAUCUCAACUAGUUAUCUCUUGUUGAACGAGUGUAUUGUCGAGCAUCCUCCUUGACGGAGAGAUGUCUUAACAAAGUACAACUUAUAACAAUGGAUCUCUAGGCUCUUGCAUCGAUGAAGAACGCAGC
This 472-nucleotide unclassified non-coding RNA is filed under the name uncultured fungus. RNAcentral describes it as "partial contains small subunit ribosomal RNA, internal transcribed spacer 1, and 5.8S ribosomal RNA". The stretch from base 1 to 73 matches the Rfam family "Eukaryotic small subunit ribosomal RNA", at positions 1759 to 1831 of the family's 1831-position model. Lineage: Eukaryota; Fungi. The record is from RNAcentral.